This 204-nucleotide unclassified non-coding RNA is filed under the name Hevea brasiliensis (rubber tree). Lineage: Eukaryota; Viridiplantae; Streptophyta; Magnoliopsida; Malpighiales; Euphorbiaceae. The record is from RNAcentral.
AACCACCACAACCAUCCUAUUGCUAACAUCAUUAUCGCCACCACCACCAUUGACCACUGCUAUCACCAUUUAGUUAUUGUCACUUCUACCGCUACUUGACCACUAUCACCACUACUACUUCAUUUAGCCAUAAUCAUCACCUACCCAUUGUUGUUGCCACCAUCACCACCACCACUACCAUUCGAUUACUAAUUAUUAUAACAA